Molecule: long non-coding RNA, 1022 nt
Filed under: Marmota monax (woodchuck)
Lineage: Eukaryota; Metazoa; Chordata; Mammalia; Rodentia; Sciuridae
Source: RNAcentral
GGCUAGAUCCUCAGAUUCCGUGAAGGUCCCUGCUCACUCUCCUGUUGCCGGGAGUAUUUCAGUGGAGACAUUUGAGAAUCUGGCGUAUCCUUCUAAGGACAGCUUUGAUGACUGAACAACUGGAAGCCACAUUAAUGUUUUUAAAAUAUCUUACUGUCCUAUGUGACUGAGACUAAUCUAAGCUACAGAAACUUUGACUAUUCUGGGUUCCUAAUGUUUCUUUUUCUUAGUUUUUUAACUUCAAAAUUAAAAUAAUGUCAAUUAAUUUGCUCACCCUUUAUGGUCUGCUUUUCUUUUUUUAAACCUGAAACUGAUCCUAACAGAAUUAAUUUAGGGUAAUCUUUUGUAGGUUACUUCUACUUUGAGUUUGGUCUCGGUGUUCUAAAACUGUCUGCCAAGCACACUGAUGAAGAGCUUGCUUGUCUUAAAGAGUUUAGGAAGAGGGUAAAAGGUCAUCCUUUCUAAAACAUGCCCACACCCAGCACCUAGGCCCAUGGCUGAUUCACCAGUGUGUGAAAUAAGCUCGGCAGAGCCCCUAUGGCCACGAAUGCCUCCCCAGUCCCUUGGGCACCUGCUUGCUCUCCUGCUGCUUGGCUCUUUCGGGAGGGGUCUGUGAAAUGCUGCUAUUUCUAGCUUAAAGGGGGAGAGCCAGUGCCCCUCAGUGAAUCAGCAGUGAUGUGGAAGCCUAAUUUUUCAUCUGGGCAAGAAGUAUAAAGUUUGUCUAGCUGCCCAGGGGGAUUAUGUCCUUCCAAGAAACAGGCGUAACUUGAACCCCAGAGCAAGGGUGCUGCUGGGUCUCCAUCUUCUGUUUCAUCAGCCUUCAUCCUUGAGGUACUGGCUGGAGGAAAUACUGCAGUUUUGCCACCAGAUCUGAACUGGGAACUCCUGGGUGAAGCACAGAAAGUGUCUCAUUAUUUUAAUAGGACUUUGUGAUCAGAGAAACAGAAUUACACAGGCUUUCAGGAAAAUAAAAAUAACACGACCCUGCUAGCCUGGGACACUUAACUGAUUGUGUAUAUAAA